This 1355-nucleotide long non-coding RNA is filed under the name Brassica napus (rape). Its description in RNAcentral is "long non-coding RNA (BNAP_LNC024551)". Lineage: Eukaryota; Viridiplantae; Streptophyta; Magnoliopsida; Brassicales; Brassicaceae. The record is from RNAcentral.
GAAAUCGACAUGGUAACAAACAGGCUCUAUUUCGGCUUUGUAUGACCGGUUAACGAAAUCGAAAUCGACAUCGACGUGAACUUCAUACUAUCAUCAACGUAAAAAGCCGACAAAGUCUGGUUUGCCAUCACCAUAUUCAUGUGUACGUCAGUUUUAAAAAAUAUAUAUAUAUAUUCAUGCGUACGUAAGAAUAUUGGUGCUUCAUCAGGUGUAUAACAACGGUUUUAUAAUCUCCGCAAAAAGUCGACUCUUUAUAACCCAAUUUCGUAAUUUAUAAAAGGGAAAUCGCCAAAAAUAUUAUUUUUCAAAAUACCAAUUUUCAUGUUUACACUAACUACUUUUACUCUCAUGUUUAAUGAAGGGUAAAAGACAUUUAUAUCUUUUUGAUUACCUUGGACAAAAAAAAAAUAUAUGGUUAACUAAUCAAAACUUAAAACAUCAACUCUAAACCCUAAUCAUCAACUCUAAACCCUAGACCAUAAAACAUCAACUCUAAACCCUCAACCAUGAAACAUCAACUCUAAACCCUAAAUCCCGAAACAUCAACUCUAAACCCUAAACCCUAAAAUUUCAAAUCUAAAUCCUAAAACAUCAACUCUAACCCUAAACGUAAACGUAAACCCUAAACCCUAAAUCUAAACUUAAAACAUCAACUUUAAACCUAAAUCAUCAACCCUAAACCCUAAACCAUGAAACAUCAACUCUAAACCCUAAACCCCGAAACAUCAACUCUAAACCCUAAACCCUAAACCUUCAAAUCAAAACCCUAAAACAUUAACUCUAAACCCUAAACGUAAACCUUAAACCUUAAACCUUAUAUUUUUCUGAAGUUCGAACCCUAAACCCUAAAACCCUAAACCUUUAAAUCUAAACCCUAAAACAUCAACUCUAAACCCUAAAUGUAAAUCCUAAACCCUAAAUCUUCAAAUCUAAACCCUAAAACAUCAACUCUAAGGUUUUAGGGUUUAGGGUUUAGGGUUUAGGGUUUAGGGUUUAGAGUUGAAGGUUUAGGGUUUAGGGUUUAGAGUUGAUGUUUUAGGAUUUAGGGUUAAUUUUUUAGGGUUUAGGGUUUAGAGUUUACUUUUUAGGAUUUAGGAUUUAGUGUUGAUAGUUUAGGGUUUAGUGUUGAUGGUUUAGGGUUUAGAGUUGAAGUUUAGGGUUUAGAGUUGAUGUUUUAGGGUUUAGAGUUGAAGGUUUAGGGUUUAGGAUUUAUGGUUGAUGUUUCAGUGUUUAGGGUUUAUUUCAAAAAAAUAUAGGGUUUAGGAUUGAUGGUUUAGGGUUUAGGGUUCGUAUUUAAAAAAUAGGGUUUAGGGUUUAAAGUUGAGUUUUAAGGUUUAGGGUUUGAAUUUCGAAAC